AGAAAUUUGAUUUUGAUGUCAAUAUGACUCCUACUAGUAGAGGGCGCUACCUACAUGUGUUUGGUAAAGUCCCUAGAUAUAUAAAGUACCGCAAUUACCGCCAUAUUGGCGCCAAAACUAGCGGCAAAUUUAAAAAGGAGGCCAACAUUUCGCUGUUUCGGCUUUUUAAGCAGAUGGUCGGUCCGGCGCCAAUAUGGCCGACCAACAUUGACAGGCAAGCCGUAAAAUAAAAUAUUUAUUAAUUGUAAUAGAAUUACGUUUAUUAUCUACAGUUUACCUUCAUUUUAACGCCUAUAUAUGUUAAGAGGUUAUAAACAAAUGGUUUCCGUACAAGUGUUUUUCAUUUGUAUUAGCAUUUAUUUUAUGUUACCUUUUAGUGCAAAGUACGCCAACAGAAUACUUAAUUCAGUCGAAACAAUUGGAAAAACUUUGUUUGUUGAUGAGAACGGGAUACCUAUACCAUAAGUAAACUUUCCCUAUUAUACCAGUUAUGCUGGAGUUAGUUUUGACAAAUAAGCAUGAUUUAACGAAAGUCUUUGGAACUAUGAAUAAGCUACAAAUUUAAAUUUGAAGGGCGGCUUUUAUACGAGAAAAUUUUGAACCAUGGUUGAAACAAAUAAAUGUAAUAAUUAAAUUGAUAUGAUACAUACCUGCUAUUUUUGAAAUAUAUUAAUAUAUUGAUAGAAAGAUUGUUUCAAUUAGUAUUACUUCAGGUAGUUUCGGCAUUUUAGGUAUGUAAUUGUGCACUUAAUUUAAAAAUAACUUAGAAAGAAGCUUGAAAUGCAUAAGAGCUCUUUAUGUAUGCUGUAUAAUUAAGGUUUGUUAUGGAGUGGUUUUUAUACAACAAAUUUAUUAUUAGUUGAAUAAAAGCAAGUUAAUACCACAUAAUACAAUUAAAAUAUAUUUUACUCUGCAAUUUAAUGUUAUAUUUUUAAAACAACAAGUGUCAUAAUGUUUAAGUAUCAUUAUAAUAAAAAAGUUAUACUGCUAUAAAUUUAACAUUGAAAUAACUGUAAUUAUUGUUAUACAUAAAUUAAGUAGGAAUAAUUUUACCUCGACAAUAUGUAAAACUUCAAAUGAAUCUUAACAAUUUUAUGUCAUGUAUAAAAAUCAAAUUUAAAUCACACACUUUUAUUUAUAACUGACAGUAUAAGACCAAAUUUUUAAAUAUAACUUU
Molecule: long non-coding RNA, 1177 nt
Organism: Sitophilus oryzae (rice weevil)
Lineage: Eukaryota; Metazoa; Arthropoda; Insecta; Coleoptera; Curculionidae
Exons: 3
Source: RefSeq, a predicted model, not a curated record